AUGAGCGCAUUGCCAUUUCGGAGACAACUGUGGCACUUCUGGCGUUACAAGCAACUGAUCCGAGCCCUGCUCGGACUGAGAAGAGCAGAGCGGAUCGUUAACAGGGCUACCUUCAUCAUAAGCGCUGGUACAAAUGACAUGCUCCUAAACUACAUCGCGUCGAACCGAUCAGCAGGCCCCAUCGCCAUGCUGCGGUACGAGAACCACCUGAUAGCACGCCUCGGCAACUAUACCCAGGUGAUGAGGAUGCUUGGAGCGAGAAGGUUCGUGUUCGUCGGGCUACCCCCGAUCGGCUGUCUACCGAUCGCGAGAACAUUGCUUGGAAGGGAUCCAGAUGGAUGCGACAGCGAUCUAAACCAGCUGGCGGCUUCCUUCAACUCGAGGCUGAUUCAGCUGUCGAAUUUCAUCAACUACCAGCCCCGAUUGAGAAGCGCCUACAUAGAUACCUACACAAUCAUACGGGCCGCAACUGACAACCCUCAGAAUUACGGGCUGACGGAGGUGUCGAGAGGGUGCUGCGGGUCAGGGAUGAUCGAGGUUGGCCAGACAUGCAGAGGGCGAAGGACAUGCCCGGACCCGAGCAAGUACUUGUACUGGGAUGCUGUCCAUCCGACAGAGACAACGAACCAGCUUAUCACAAGCCUGAUGCUGGACUCCAUUGCCGGAAUCUACAGCUAG
Molecule: ribosomal RNA, 678 nt
Filed under: Triticum aestivum (bread wheat)
Lineage: Eukaryota; Viridiplantae; Streptophyta; Magnoliopsida; Poales; Poaceae
Description: partial small subunit ribosomal RNA
Source: RNAcentral